This 416-nucleotide long non-coding RNA is filed under the name Lepisosteus oculatus (spotted gar). RNAcentral's name for it is "lncRNA (ENSLOCG00000021844.1)". Lineage: Eukaryota; Metazoa; Chordata; Actinopteri; Semionotiformes; Lepisosteidae. The record is from RNAcentral.
AUGGCGGACUGCGCGGUCCAGCCGCCCGCGAAGAUACGGCCAGCUGUUCCCAUGGCCCCGCCCCACGGAGAGGAGAGGAGGGCCCAGACCAAUGGCCACGCCUCCCCAGUCCGCCUGGCAGCCAAUCCCAGCAGCCCUGCAGGUAAACAAAGUAAGUCCAGCACCUCUCUUCAGCACAGACAGGGGGCGCUGCUGUGGGAGACUUUGAACCCCAGUGUACUAGGCAGUGAGCUCCCUUGCAUAAUGAUAUCAAUCCCUCCUGAUGUUUCAUAGGAGUUGAAUUACGGUUGAAUACGUGAUUAUAACAGAGGAUUUCAGUGCUCUCCAAGUCACUAUUUACAGAUGUUCUGCCUUGCGUUGUGCACAGUAAUGGAUGUUUUGGAUGGGGAUCCACAAAUCUACACAGGGAUCGGAUU